This 219-nucleotide long non-coding RNA is filed under the name Gossypium raimondii (Peruvian cotton). RNAcentral's name for it is "long non-coding RNA (GRAI_LNC010505)". The record is from RNAcentral. Lineage: Eukaryota; Viridiplantae; Streptophyta; Magnoliopsida; Malvales; Malvaceae.
ACAACUGGGUGACUCCAACGAAAGGUCUAUUUUCCUUUUCUUUUUCUUUGUUAUUUUAUACGAAAUAAAAUGAAAAAAAUAAAAGAAAAUAAAAACAUAAAUAAAUAAAUAAAACGGACACUGCGAAGUGAAACAAAGAAGAAAUCACCUAUGCAAAAACAAGUUUGAUUUCUCUAUUUUCUCUCUAUUUCUUUGCAUAUAUUUUUGACUGAAUCCCCC